AGACAGGGUGUCAGUCUGUUGCCCAGGCUGCAGUGCAGUGGUGCCAUUAGCUCACUGCAGCCUCGACCUCCCAGACUCAAGCAAUCCUUCCACCUCAGCUUCCUGAGUAGCUGGGACCACAGGUGCACACCACCACACCUAACUAAUUUUAUUUUUUAUUUUUAUUUUUGUAGAGAUGGGGGUCUCACUGUGUUGCCCAGGCUGGUCUGGAGCUCCUGAGCUCAAGCGAUCCUCCCACCUUGGCCUCCCAAAGUGCUGGGAUUACAGGUAUGAAUCACCAUGCCUGGCCCCAAUUGCAAGAUUUUAUUAAAAUUUUUAUAUGUCAAAAUUUUAGAGGUUAAAAGACCCUCUUGAGGAAGCUAAACAAAGUGCAGAGAGGUACAAAGCUGAACUCCAUCCACUCAGAAAGAAAGCACUGCCCGGCAGAAGAUGCUGGAGUAGUUACAACAGGAAGCUCCAUGCCAGCAGGAGCAGCCUCUGCGUGAGAACUCCCUGGAGCGUCUAUUCCAGAAGCUCUGCCUUACAGAGGGGAUGAUGUAAAGUUGUGAGCAGUUUCAGCUGUAGGCAGCAGAAACUUGGCCCAGCAACAGAGAGAGAAGAUAAAAUGUCAGAGGAGAGAGAGGACAGAUGUCACCCAGACAAAUUCUUUCUUAAUAAGGGUUGAAAAAGGAGGCGGCUAGUUCCCAUGCAGUGUGAGCCAUGGGAGGUGGGCAGAAUCACAGCACACUGCACAAGGCAGAGGCAAGACAUGAGAAUGAAUGCAAGCCCUUGCUGGGAGCCUCCGUGACCCCGUCAGCCGCAGGCCGGGGCUCUGCCACAGAGGCAAACUGCACAUGGACGUGUGAUGUCUGCAUGGGCUGCACGGACCCUCACACGCCCACUCCAUGGCUCCAUCACAGCCUCUGCAAAGACCUCCUCUUGCUCUGCCUUCUCUUAUUAGUUUCCUGGGCUGCGAUAACAACUUAGUGACUUAAAAGAACAGACUAGUUUUCUGUCACAGUCUGGAGUCCGGAAGUCUGAAGUUAAGGUGUCAGCAGGGCUGCACUUUCUCCAGAGCCUCUAGGGCAGAACCCAUGCCUUGACCCUUGGAACCUAUGGUGGCUGCUGCUGUUCCUGGGCUUGUGGCUGCCCACCCCAAAGUCUUCUCCCACCAUCACGUGGCCUUCCAACUGUGUGUGUCUAAUCUCCCACUGCCUCUCUCAGGAUGGCAUUCAAGGCCCACCCAGAUAAUCCAGGAUGACCCUCACCUGAUGAUCCUUAAAUCACACCUGCAAAGACCCUUUUUCCAAAUAAGGUUACAGUCACAGAUUCCAGGAAGAGAACAUGGACACACUUUGUCGGGGGGGGGCAUUUUUCAGCCCACUACACCUCUCAAUCUUUCUCCUUUUGUGCCCCUGAUCACCAACCCAGCCAUCAGCCACUGCCCAUCAGUUUCAUGUAUACUCUAACCUCAGUCCACUUCUUUCCACACAGUGAAUGACCAGUGUUCUGUCAGAAUUUCUGCCAUUAAGAGGACUUUCCCCACCACUGUGCUUCAGGGCCGUCCCAUGGCGGGCUGUGCAGCAGCAUUUGGAACUUACACCCACCUGUCAAGCCAUGACCCAAGUUUGGCCCCUUUACUCCCACCCCAGUUCUAAGCUGAGUGAGAGAGGGACCCAAUGCAACCUUAGCAGACAACAUGAGGCCUGGGCCACCUGCUUGUGCAACUCCUGGGUGCCAUGUGGCCCUGCUCUGGCCCAGAAUGGGAUGUGCCAUCACCAUCGUACUGUGAGUGGCUGUUGGGCCCACCAUUGACUGUAUAACUUGGGUUCUGGCUGAACCCAGCUCAGGGUGGGCAGUUCUGGCUGCAGAGUCACUUGAUGUCUCUUGCUUGGUGCUCUGUUUCCAUCAGGGCCCAGUAGCAUGCUGGGUGCUUUUCUGGUUUGGUUCGGUUUUUUGGGUGAUAUGUAAUUCUCAGUUACAGAUGGUGUGGUCUUAAUCCAGAACCCUAAGUGUCUGUAUUUGCGAUUCUCCCAUGGGAACCUACCAUAAACUCCAAAUUCCCCCUUUUCUCUCAUAGAUACCUCAAAUACAGUAAGGUCUGCUGGAUCUUAUGAUGCAAGGAGCAGGCUGGCUGACUCACCUCCUGAACUUAACCCGGUGAAACCCUGUCUCCACUAAAAGCAAUUAGCCAGGGCUACAGAGCCCUCUCCAGUUCUGGGCCCAAAGCCCAGCUCAAUCUGGAGCAGCAUGCCCCUACAUGGGGUUUGCUACCUUUAAACCCAAGGGAGCCUACUAAGCACUGUGCUUUAUUCUUAUUGGUGGGAUAUAUGAGAUGUAAUGAUUUAUCUUUCACUUUGGAGGGAAUGUCCCAGAACCCUGGAUCCUUGAAGUUUCCACUAAUGUGUUUAGCAGGUUGGAAGAUACAAGGUCAAUAUAUAAAAAUCAAUUAGGUAUACAAAAAUUAACUCAAAGUGCAUUCAGAGGCCAAGCAGGGAGAAUUGCUUGAGACCAGGAGAUCUAGACCAGCUUGGGCAACAUAGUGAGAUCUCAUCUCUACAAAAAGUUUUAAAGUUAGCCAUUAGUAGUGGCUUCUCCCACCUCAACCUCCUGAAUAACCUGUAGUUCUAGCUACUUGAGAGGUUGAGGCAAGAAAAUCCCUAGAGCCCAAGAGUUGAAGGUUAUAGUUAGCUAUGAUCAUGCCACUACACUCUAGCCUGGGUGACAGAGCAAGACUCUGUCCAAAAAAAAAAAGUUAAUUCAAAAUGGAUCAUAAACCUAGACACAGUUUUAGUGUUAGCUAAAACUAUGAGACUUACAUAGCAUGGGUUAAUCUCAGCUGAUCCAGAUUAACCACAUUGUGAUGGUUAAUUUUAGGCGCUGACGCAACUGGAUUAAGAAAUACUGGCCAGGCUCGGUGGCUCAUGCCUGUAAUCCCCCAGCACUUUGGGAGGCCAACGCAGGCACAUGGUGAGGUAAGGAGAUGGAGACCAUCCCGGCUAACCCGGUGAAACACUGUCUCUACUAAAAACACAAUUAGCCAGGAGUGGUGGCACAUGCCUGUAGUCUCAGCUACUCGGGAGGCUAAAACAGGAGAAUUCCUUGAACCCAGGAGGCAGAGGUUGCAGUGAGCCAAGAUUGCACCAUUGCACUCCAGCAUGAGCAACAGAGUGAGACUCCAUCUCAAAAAAAAAAGAGAGGGCCGGGCGCGGUGGCUCAAGCUUGUAAUCCCAGCACUUUGGGAGGCUGAGGUGGGUGGAUCACAAGGUCAAGAGAUCGAGACCAUCCUGGGCAACAUGGUGAAACCCCAUCUCUACUAAAAAUGCAAAAAAUCAGCUGGGCCUGGUGGCGCGUGCCUGUAAUCCCAGCUACUCAGGAGGCUGAGGCAGGAGAAUUGCCUGAACCCAGGAGACGUAGGUUGUGGUUAGUUGAGAUCGCGCCACUGCACUCCAGCCUGAGUAACAAGAGUGAAACUCCAUCUCAAAAAAAAAAAAAACAAAAAAAACCCAGCAACCACACUCUUAGACAUUUAUCACAGAGAAAUGAAAACAGUGUUCACACCAACACCUGGUUACAAAUGUCCACAUCAGCAUUAUUCACGAUUGCCAAAAAAGUGGAAAAACACAAAUACUCUUCAAUAGGUGAAUGGUUAAAGAAACUUUGGUACCCCCAUACCAUGGAAUACUACUCAGCAGUAAAAAGGAAUUGACAAUUGAUAAUUGAUACAUUCAGUAAUUUGGAUGGAUCUCAAGCAAAUUAUGCUCAGUGAAAAAAUGUGAGUUCAAAAGGCCACAUACUGUAUGAUUCCAUUUACAUAACUUUUUUCUUUUAGAGACGGAGUUUUGCUCUUGUUUCCCAGGCUGGAGUGCAAUGGAGCUAUGUCAGUUUACUGCAACCUCCACAUCCCGGGUUCAAGCAAUUCUUCUGCUUCAGCCUCCCAGGUAGCUGGGAUUACAGAUAUGAGCCACCGUGCCCGGCUAAUUUUGUAUCCUUAGUAGAGACAGGGUUUUUCCAUUGUUGGUCAUGCUGGUCUCGAACUCCCGACCUCAAGAAAUCCACUUGCCUUGGCCUCCCAACAUGCUAGGAUUACAGGCCUGAGCCACCGUGCCUGGCAACAUUCUUUUGUUGAUGGACAUUUGAGUUGUUUCCAGUUUCUAUUACCAAUAAAAUGUCUAUACAUAUUACUUUACAAGUCUUCUGUAGAUAUAUGUUUUCAUGAAACCUGGGUAAACCUACAAGUGAAGUGACUAUGUCAUAUGGCUGGUUUAACUUUUUUCUUUUUAGAAACAGGGUCUCUCUGGCCGGGUAUGGUGGCUCGUGUCUGUAAUCCCAGCACUUUGGGAGGCCAAGGAAGGCAGAUCACCUGAGGUCAGGAGUUUGAGACCAGCCUGGCCAACAUGGUGAAACUCUGUCUCUACUAAAAUACAAAAAUCAGCUGGGCAUGGUGUAAUCCCAGCUACUUGGGAGGCUGAGGCAGGAAAAUCGUUUGAACCCGGGAGGCUGAGGUUGCAGUGAGUGGAGAUCGUGCCAUUGCACUCCAGCCUGGAUAACAGAGCUAGCUCAGUCUCCAAAAAAAAGAAGAAGCAGGGUCUCACCAUGUUGCCCAGGCUGGUCUCUAACUCCUGGACUCAAGCCAUCCACUGGCCUCCACCUCCCAAAGUAUUAGGAUUACAGGUGUGGGCCACUGCCCUUGGCUGUGCGUUUAGCUUUGGCUUUAUAAGAACCUGCCAAACUGUCUUCAGAGUGUUUGCACCAUUUCACAUUCCCACCAGCAGGGCAUGAAUGUCCCCGUUUCUUCACACCCUCACUACCACUUGGCAUGGUAAGUCUCUGGUUAUAGCCAUCCUAGUGGGUGUCGUGGUGUCUCUCCAUGGUUUCAAUGAGUGUUUCCCUAAUGACUAAUGAUGUUGAGCAUCUUUUCCUGUGCAAUUUGCCAUCAGUUUAGCUUCUUUGCUGAGGUGAUUAUCCAAAUCUUUUACCCAUUCUUUUUAAAAAACAGAAACAAAAAUACUACAGCACAAGUGGCUGUUCACAGCCUUCCCCUUCCCUGUGUCCUGAGGAUGUGAGAGUGUUUGCUGCUUCUUAUGGGCCCCUUGCUGUGGGAGUGGGCAGAGAUGGGAAGAGCCCAGGCUGAUCCGCAUUAGAACAGACCCGGGAGUGCUUGUGGGAAAUCCAAGAGUCCUGUUGGAGGGGAUAGGAGGGGAGAGGAAGAGAGGGCUGGAAGCUUAGGGGGAGGGGGCAGAUGGGGAGAGAAGAGGAGAUACUGGAGGAUCUGCUGCUUCAUGGCUCAGCUUUGGUCGGCGGUGAGAAGGAUGAUGUCAGGCUUUGCAUGAUGAGUUGGGAGCCUCCUCUCCAGAGUCCUCCCGAGAAAAUCUGAAGCAAGCUCUCCAUGGCUGCUCAGGGAUUUGGACCUGCAUUACUUUAGAGAGAAAGAAAGAGAAAAAAAGGAAUGAAGAAGAGGAAAAAGGAGGAAGAGGAGGAGGGAGAGAGAACAAGAGUGUUGCUUAAUUGCCCAGGCUAGAAUGCAGUCUAAAAAUGGGUAUUGAAAACCUCCCUUAUACCAUCAAUUGUGCUUAAUAAUGGCCAACCAAUAUUUCAUUUAAACCUGUGAGUAGGUGUGAUGCGGUACUGAUAAGAGUGUAUGUCUUGUGUGUUUAAAGUGGAGAGUUCUAUAAAUUUUUAUUAAGUUUACCUGUUCUGGAUCUGAGUUCAAGUCCAGGAUAUCCUUAUUAAUUUUCUGUCUCAUUGAUCUAUCUAAUAUUGAUGUUGAAAUCUCCCACUACUACUGUGUGGGAGUCCAAGUCUCUUUACAAGUCUUAUGUAUCCUGUGUUGGGUGGGUACACAUCCAGGAUCGUCAGCUCUUCUUAUUGCGUUGAUCUUUUUACCAUUAUGUCCUCUUUUGAUCUUUGUCGCUUUAAAAUCCAUUCCAUCAGAGGCGAGAAUUGCAACCUCUUCUUUUUAUUUAUUUAUUUAUUUUUGCUCUGAGCAGUUUUUACACUGAGCAGUUGUAGCUUUAUUCUUGGUGCUGGAUUUUGUGGACCACUGCCUGGGAUAGCAACUGAAGAGCAGCAGUGGAGAGGUGUGGGUGGAGAAGCAUUUUAAAAAUAAUGUAUGUUAAGAAUUUUUAAAUUUGGGCUGGGUACAGUGGCUCAUGCCUGUAAUCCCAGCACUUUGGGAGGCCAAGGCAGGUGGAUCACUUGAGGUCAGGAGUUCAAGACCAACUGGCCAACAUGAUGAAACCCUGUCCCUACUAAAAAUACAAAAAUUAGCCGGGCAUGGUGGUGCUGCCUGUAAUCCCAGCUACACAGGAAACUGAGACAGGAGAACCGCUUGAACCUGGAAGGUGAAGGCUGCAGUGAGCUGAGAUCAGGCUAUUGCACUUCAACCUGGGCAACAAAGCGAGAUUCUGUCUCAAAAAAAUAAGUUUAAAUUUUGAAGUGAUUAUAGAUGCACAGGAAGUUGCAAAAAAAGUUCAAGGAAGUUUUGUGUACCCAGUUUCCCCCAAUGAUAACAUCUUUCCUAACUAUGGUUUAGUAUCAAAGCCAGGACGUUGAUGUUGGUACAGUCCUUAGAGCUGGUUUGUACUUCAUCGGUGUUACAUGCACUCUCUUGUGUGUGUUGUAUGUAUGCGUGUGAAUAGUUCAGUGCAAUUUUGUCACAUGUGGAGGUUCAUGUAACCAGCACCACAGUCAAGAUACAGAACAAUUACCACCGUGGAAGUCCCUCAUGCUACCCCUUUACCUAUGUCCACCCCCUCCUUCUCUGCCCCUAAACCCUGAUAACUGCUAAACUGAUUUCCAUCUGCCUAUUUCGUCAUUUCAAAAAUGUUGUAUAGGCCAGGCAUGGUGGCUCACUCCUGUAAUCCCAGCACUUUGGGAGGCCGAGAUGGGCAGAUCAUGAGGUCAGAAGAUAGAGACCAUCCUGGAAAACUUGGUGAAAUCCUGUCUCUACUAAAAAUACAAAAAUUAGCUGGAUGUGGUGGCUCAUGCCUGUAGUCCCAGCUACUCAGGAGGCUGAGGCAGGAGAAUCACUUGAACCCAGGAAGUGGAGUUUGCAGUGAGCUGAGAUCAUGCCACUGCACUCCAGUAUGGUAACAGAGCUUGACUUCAUCUCAAAGAAAAAAGAAAGUUAUAUCAAUGAAAUCAUAUAGUAUGUGGCCUUUUGAACUGGCUUUUUUCUCACUGAGCAUAAUUUGCUUGAGAUCCAUCCAAGUUGUUGAAAGUAUUGAUUAUCAAUUGUCAGUUCUUUUUUAUUGCUAAGUAAUACUCCAUGGUAUGGGGAUACCAAAGUUUCUUUCCUGUCAAUUAUACCUCUAUUAAGUUAUAACAAUAAAAGCCUUCACUAAUGAA
Callithrix jacchus (white-tufted-ear marmoset) is the source of this 7329-nucleotide long non-coding RNA. RefSeq lists it as uncharacterized. NCBI's taxonomy places the organism in Eukaryota, Metazoa, Chordata, Mammalia, Primates, Cebidae. The record is from RefSeq and is a predicted model, not a curated record.